RNAcentral lists this ribosomal RNA (275 nucleotides) under uncultured prokaryote. Its description in RNAcentral is "partial 16S ribosomal RNA". It matches the Rfam family "Bacterial small subunit ribosomal RNA", at positions 524 to 798 of the family's 1533-position model. The record is from RNAcentral.
UACGGAGGAUGCAAGCGUUAUCCGGAUUUAUUGGGUUUAAAGGGUGCGUAGGCGGGUUAUCAAGUCAGCGGUGAAAUUUUUCGGCUUAACCGUAAAAUUGCCGUUGAAACUGGUGAUCUUGAGUGCGAGCGAGGUAGGCGGAAUGUGCCGUGUAGCGGUGAAAUGCGUAGAGAUAUGGAGGAACACCAGUGGCGAAGGCGGCUUCCUGGUCUGUAACUGACACUGAGGCGCGAAAGCGUGGGGAGCAAACAGGAUUAGAUACCCUGGUAGUCCCU